UACGGAGGGUGCAAGCGUUGUUCGGAAUUACUGGGCGUAAAGCGCGUGCAGGCGGCCGACUAAGUCCGGUGUGAAAGCCCGGGGUUCACCCCCGGAAGUGCGCUGGAAACUGGUCGGCUAGAGUACGGGAGAGGGAAGCGGAAUUCCUGGUGUAGCGGUGAAAUGCGUAGAUAUCAGGAGGAACACCGGCGGCGAAGGCGGCUUCCUGGACCGAUACUGACGCUGAGACGCGAAAGCGUGGGGAGCAAACAGG
This 253-nucleotide ribosomal RNA is filed under the name uncultured bacterium. RNAcentral's name for it is "partial 16S ribosomal RNA". It matches the Rfam family "Bacterial small subunit ribosomal RNA", at positions 524 to 776 of the family's 1533-position model. The record is from RNAcentral.